RNAcentral lists this ribosomal RNA (1361 nucleotides) under uncultured bacterium. Its description in RNAcentral is "16S ribosomal RNA". It matches the Rfam family "Bacterial small subunit ribosomal RNA", at positions 8 to 1370 of the family's 1533-position model. The record is from RNAcentral.
AGAGUUUCAUUCUGGCUCAGAUUGAACGCUGGCGGCAUGCCUUACACAUGCAAGUCGAACGGCAGCACGGAGCUUGCUCUGGUGGCGAGUGGCGAACGGGUGAGUAAUAUAUCGGAACGUACCCUAGAGUGGGGGAUAACGUAGCGAAAGUUACGCUAAUACCGCAUACGAUCUAAGGAUGAAAGUGGGGGAUCGCAAGACCUCAUGCUCGUGGAGCGGCCGAUAUCUGAUUAGCUAGUUGGUAGGGUAAAAGCCUACCAAGGCAUCGAUCAGUAGCUGGUCUGAGAGGACGACCAGCCACACUGGAACUGAGACACGGUCCAGACUCCUACGGGAGGCAGCAGUGGGGAAUUUUGGACAAUGGGCGAAAGCCUGAUCCAGCAAUGCCGCGUGAGUGAAGAAGGCCUUCGGGUUGUAAAGCUCUUUUGUCAGGGAAGAAGCGGUGAGAGCUAAUAUCUCUUGCUAAUGACGGUACCUGAAGAAUAAGCACCGGCUAACUACGUGCCAGCAGCCGCGGUAAUACGUAGGGUGCACGCGUUAAUCGGAAUUACUGGGCGUAAAGCGUGCGCAGGCGGUUUUGUAAGUCUGAUGUGAAAUCCCCGGGCUCAACCUGGGAAUUGCAUUGGAGACUGCAAGGCUAGAAUCUGGCAGAGGGGGGUAGAAUUCCACGUGUAGCAGUGAAAUGCGUAGAUAUGUGGAGGAACACCGAUGGCGAAGGCAGCCCCCUGGGUCAAGAUUGACGCUCAUGCACGAAAGCGUGGGGAGCAAACAGGAUUAGAUACCCUGGUAGUCCACGCCCUAAACGAUGUCUACUAGUUGUCGGGUCUUAAUUGACUUGGUAACGCAGCUAACGCGUGAAGUAGACCGCCAGGGGAGUACGGUCGCAAGAUUAAAACUCAAAGGAAUUGACGGGGACCCGCACAAGCGGUGGAUGAUGUGGAUUAAUUCGAUGCAACGCGAAAAACCUUACCUACCCUUGACAUGGCUGGAAUCCCCGAGAGAUUGGGGAGUGCUCGAAAGAGAACCAGUACACAGGUGCUGCAUGGCUGUCGUCAGCUCGUGUCGUGAGAUGUUGGGUUAAGUCCCGCAACGAGCGCAACCCUUGUCAUUAGUUGCUACGAAAGGGCACUCUAAUGAGACUGCCGGUGACAAACCGGAGGAAGGUGGGGAUGACGUCAAGUCCUCAUGGCCCUUAUGGGUAGGGCUUCACACGUCAUACAAUGGUACAUACAGAGCGCCGCCAACCCGCGAGGGGGAGCUAAUCGCAGAAAGUGUAUCGUAGUCCGGAUUGUAGUCUGCAACUCGACUGCAUGAAGUUGGAAUCGCUAGUAAUCGCGGAUCAGCAUGUCGCGGUGGAUACG